Molecule: ribosomal RNA, 373 nt
Filed under: uncultured bacterium
Lineage: Bacteria
Description: bacterial SSU rRNA
Rfam family: Bacterial small subunit ribosomal RNA
Source: RNAcentral
UACGUAGGGUGCGAGCGUUAAUCGGAAUUACUGGGCGUAAAGCGAGCGCAGACGGUUACUUAAGCAGGAUGUGAAAUCCCCGGGCUCAACCUGGGAACUGCGUUCUGAACUGGGUGACUAGAGUGUGUCAGAGGGAGGUAGAAUUCCACGUGUAGCAGUGAAAUGCGUAGAGAUGUGGAGGAAUACCGAUGGCGAAGGCAGCCUCCUGGGAUAACACUGACGUUCAUGCUCGAAAGCGUGGGUAGCAAACAGGAUUAGAUACCCUGGUAGUCCACGCCCUAAACGAUGUCAAUUAGCUGUUGGGCAACUUGAUUGCUUAGUAGCGUAGCUAACGCGUGAAAUUGACCGCCUGGGGAGUACGGUCGCAAGAUUA